This 1785-nucleotide ribosomal RNA is filed under the name uncultured fungus. RNAcentral's name for it is "partial 18S ribosomal RNA". It matches the Rfam family "Eukaryotic small subunit ribosomal RNA". Lineage: Eukaryota; Fungi. The record is from RNAcentral.
UACCUGGUUGAUUCUGCCAGUAGUCAUAUGCUUGUCUCAAAGAUUAAGCCAUGCAUGUCUAAGUAUAAACAACUUUGUACUGUGAAACUGCGAAUGGCUCAUUAAAUCAGUUAUAGUUUAUUUGAUGAUUCUUGCUACAUGGAUAACUGUGGUAAUUCUAGAGCUAAUACAUGCAUUCAAGCCCCGACUUCUGGAAGGGGUGUAUUUAUUAGAUAAAAACCAAUGUAUUUGGUGAAUCAUAAUAACUUCUCGGAUCGCAUGGCCUCGAGCUGGCGAUACUUCAUUCAAAUAUCUGCCCUAUCAACUUUCGAUGGUAGGAUAGAGGCCUACCAUGGUUGCAACGGGUAACGGGGAAUAAGGGUUCGAUUCCGGAGAGGGAGCCUGAGAAACGGCUACCACAUCCAAGGAAGGCAGCAGGCGCGCAAAUUACCCAAUCCCGACACGGGGAGGUAGUGACAAUACAUAACAAUAUACGGCUUUAACGUCGUAUAAUUGGAAUGAGUACAAUUUAAAUCCCUUAACGAGGAACAAUUGGAGGGCAAGUCUGGUGCCAGCAGCCGCGGUAAUUCCAGCUCCAAUAGCGUAUAUUAAAGUUGUUGCAGUUAAAAAGCUCGUAGUUGGAUUUUGGACCUGGACGGGCGGUCCGCCUCACGGCGUGUACUGUCUGGCUGGGUCUUUCCUCUUGGUGAUCUGUUGUUUCGGCAGCAGGGAACCAGGACCUUUACUUUGAAAAAAUUAGAGUGUUCAAAGCAGGCUUUACGCCGGAAUAUAUUAGCAUGGAAUAAUAAAAUAGGACGUGCGGUUCUAUUUUGUUGGUUUUUGGAAUCGCCGUAAUGAUUAAUAAGGAUAGUCGGGGGCAUUAGUACUGCCAUGUUGAAGGUGAAUUUUUGGAUUUGUGAAGGCCUAAUUUGGGAGAAGCCUUUUCCCAGGGAGUGUUUCUUUAUUCAAGAACAGGUGUGGGGUUUUAAAAAGCGUUAGGAUCCCUUGUUUUUUUACAGUAAAAUAUUCCCAGUAGGGAACCGGCCAAGUUUUUUUUCGUAUGGGUAUGGCCCCUUUUGGGAGAAUUAAAAGUUUUGGGUUUUGGGGGGGUGUAUGGUCCCAGGGGGUAAAUUUAAGAAAAUUGAGGAAGGGCCCCCCCCCGGGGGGGGACUGGGGGGUAAAAUGGGUUAAAACGGGGGAACUUUUCACGGUCCGGCAUAUGGAAGGGUUGGCGGGUUGGAGGUUUUUUUUGGUUUUAUUGGGGGGGGGGCACAGCCCGUUCUUGAUAGGGGGGAGAGUUGUUUCGGUUAAUUCGAGAAACGAAGAGAGCCUUACCCUGCUAAUUUCCCUACCGGGUUUGGGUAAGUUGUUGGCUUGUUGAGGGGAUUUUUGGGCUUUUCCACAUUGGAAGUUGUAGCCAAUACCGGUUUUGUGAUGCCUUUGGAUGUUGUGGCCGCCCGGCGCGCUCCCCUGCGGAAGCAAACGAGUCCUUUCCUGUUCGGAAGGGACGGGGUAUUCUGGUGAAAUUUGGUCGUGCGGGGGAUAGAGCAUUACAAUUAUUUCUCUUCAAGGAGGAAUUGCUAAGUAAGCGUGAUCCUUCAGCUAGGGUUGAUUACGUCCCUGCCGUUGGCACACACCGCCGGUGGUUCCUACGGAUUGAAUGGGUGAGUGACCCUUUGGGAUAAGCAGUUCCUGCCGCCAACGGCAAGUGGCCGCGGAAAUCCCCAAAAAGGGUCGUCUUGAGGAGGAGGAAAUAGUACAAAGGGGGGUUAGCGGGCGCGAAUAAAUACUCCUGUACUUAUUAUA